RNAcentral lists this ribosomal RNA (3567 nucleotides) under Triticum aestivum (bread wheat). Its description in RNAcentral is "partial small subunit ribosomal RNA". Lineage: Eukaryota; Viridiplantae; Streptophyta; Magnoliopsida; Poales; Poaceae. The record is from RNAcentral.
AUGGAGGACGUCUGCGAGGGGAAGGACUUCUCCUUCCCGGCGGAGGAGGAGCGCGUGCUCCGCCUCUGGUCCGAGCUCGACGCCUUCCACGAGCAGCUCCGUCGCACGGAGGGCGGCGAGGAGUUCGUCUUCUACGACGGCCCCCCCUUCGCCACAGGGCUCCCGCACUACGGCCACAUCCUCGCGGGCACCAUCAAGGACGUGGUCACCCGGCACCAGGCGAUGCGGGGCCGCCACGCACGCAGGAACAGGGGAAAGCAGAGGACUUGUAGCCUGACACACGGCCUCCCUGUCGAGCACGAGAUCGACAAGCUCCUCGAGAUCAAGACCCGGCAGGAUGUGCUCGACAAGGGCAUCGGUGUGUACAACGAGGCCUGCCGCGGCAUCGUCACCAAGUAUGUCGCCGAGUGGGAGGCCGUCGUCACGCGCGUGGGGAGGUGGAUUGUUUUCAAGGCCGGCUACAAGACGAUGGACAUCAACUUCAUGGAGAGCGUCUGGUGGGUCUUCGCGCAGCUCUGGCACAAGGACCUCGUGUACAAGGGCUUCAAGGUGAUGCCUUACAGCACAGGCUGCAGGACUGCAUUGUCAAACUUUGAGGCCGGGCUGGACUAUAGGACUGUUUCAGAUCCAGCAGUCAUGGUGUCUUUCCCUAUUGCCGGUGAUGUGGACAAUGCAUCUCUUGUCGCAUGGACCACAACUCCCUGGACUCUCCCAAGCAAUCUAGCAUUAUGUGUCAAUGCCAAUCUUGUGUAUGCCAAGGUUAAGGACAAAUCAAAUGGAACAGUAUACAUUGUUGCUGAAAGUAGGCUUGGGCAGUUGCCAGUUAAGGCCAAAGCUUCCGGAAAGAAGCAAGCAACUUCUAAGGGAAGCAUGACUGAAGCUGUUCAAGGCGGUUUGGAUACUGAAUCGUACGAGUUACUGGCAAAGAUUCCUGGUUCAUCCUUAGUAGGCCUAAAGUACACUCCUUUGUUUGAUUUUUUCUUGGAGCUUCAGGAGACUGCCUUUAGGGUCAUUGCAGAUAACUAUGUAACUGAUGAUAGUGGAACCGGUGUGGUCCAUUGUGCUCCUGCUUUCGGUGAAGAUGACCAUCGUGUUUGCCUUGCUGCCGGGAUAAUUGAGGCUAGUGGCCUUGUUGUCGCUGUUGAUGAUGAUGGUUGCUUUAUUGACAAGAUAUCUGAGUUCAGAGGGCGACCUGUUAAAAAGGUUGACAAGGAUAUCAGCAGUGUUGACAAUGAUAUCAUCAGUGCUGUUAAGGAUAAAGGAAGGCUUGUUAGUAAAGGGAGCAUUGAACACUCUUAUCCAUAUUGUUGGCGCUCAGAGACUCCUCUCAUUUACCGGCCUGUUCCAAGCUGGUUCAUUAAGGUUGAAAAGAUAAGGGAUCAGUUGCUGGAGUGCAACAAGGAGAUCUACUGGGUUCCAGAUUAUGUCAAGGAAAAGAGAUUCCAUAACUGGCUAGAAGGUGCCAGGGACUGGGCUGUUAGCAGAAGUAGAUUCUGGGGUACUCCACUUCCAGUAUGGAUCAGCCAAGAUGGUGAAGAAAUUGUAGUUAUGAAUUCCAUUGAAAAACUUGAAAAAUUAUCUGGUGUCAAGGUUAGCGAUCUUCACCGACAUUAUGUUGAUGAUAUUACGAUUCAGUCUAGCAGAGGACCAGAGUAUGGGGUGCUCAAACGGGUUGAAGAUGUUUUCGACUGCUGGUUUGAGAGUGGCUCCAUGCCAUAUGCCUACAUUCAUUAUCCAUUUGAGAACCGUGAACUAUUUGAGAAUAAUUUUCCUGGAGACUUCGUGGCAGAGGGCUCGGACCAAACACGUGGAUGGUUCUAUACUUUGAUGGUGUUAUCAACAUCAUUGUUUGGGAAGCCUGCUUUUAAGAAUCUUAUUUGCAAUGGUCUUGUCUUGGCCGAGGAUGGUAAGAAAAUGAGCAAGAGUAAAAAGAAUUACCCUGCUCCAACAGAAGUCAUUGAUGAAUACGGAGCAGAUGCGUUGACGCUGUAUUUGGUAAAUUCGCCAGUUGUACGCGCAGAGUCUCUACGAUUCAGAAGGAGUGGUGUUUUUGGUGUUGUGAAAUAUGUUUUCCUCCCAUGGUAUAAUGCAUAUAGAUUUCUUGUCCAAAAUGCAAAGAGAUUUGAGGUUGAGGGCCUCGGAGCAUUUUCUCCGAUUGAUCAAACUUCACUUCUGAAAUCAUCCAAUGUGUUAGAUCACUGGAUAAAGUCCGCAACUGAAAGUCUGGCCAGCUUUGUUCGGCAGGAGAUGGAUGCCUAUCGGCUUUACACGGUUGUGCCAUAUUUGGUAAAAUACAUUGACAAUCUUACUAUUAUAUACGUGCGUUUCAACCGCAAACGGCUAAAAGGACGCACUGGAGACAGUGGCGGAGCCAGGAAAUUUGAAUUAGGGGGGCCGAUUGCAGCACUUGUAACAACUUGUGUGGCGAUGGCUCCAUUUACACCUUUCUUUACUGAGGUUCUUUAUCAAAAUCUGCGAAAGGUUUCAAGUAAAUCAGAGCAGAGCAUUCAUUUUUGUAGUUUCCCAUCGACAACUGGGGAGAGAGAUGGGCGUGUUGAGCAGAGUGUAAGCAGGAUGAUGACCAUCAUUGAUCUUGCUCGCAAUAUUCGAGAACGGCGCAACAAAGCUCUCAAAACGCCACUUAAGGAGAUGGUGGUCUUUCAUCCUGACAAUGAAUUUCUGGAAGACAUUGGUGGAAAGCUAAAAGAGUAUGUCAUGGAGGAGAUGAAUGUUAAGAUUGUCACAACAUGUGAUGAUCCCAUGAAGUAUUCUGUUUCGCGGGCAGAACCCAAUUUUAGCGUACUAGGCAAAAGACUGGGAAAAGACAUGGGCAAAGUAUCAAGUGAAGUUAAGAAAAUGACUCAGGACCAAAUCUUGGCAUUUGAACGAAGUGGAAAGGUUUCAUUCCUUGGUCAUUGCUUGACGGUAGACGAUAUUAAGGUGGUCCGACAAUUCAAGCGUCCAGCAAAUAUGUCAGAGAAAGAAAUGGAUGCUGCAGGAGAUGGUGAUGUUUUGGUCAUAUCGGAUCUUACAGCUGAUCAAUCGUUGUUUGAAGCUGGAGUGGCUCGCGAGGUCGUAAACAAAAUCCAGAAGUUACGUAAGGUUGCUCAGCUGGAACCUACGGACCUGGUUGAUGUGUAUUACAAAUCUGAAGAUGAUAACAACACACUUCAAGAAAUUUUGCAGUCACAGGAUCAGUACAUUAGGGAUGUGCUUGGUAGUUCACCUAUCCCAAAGGCAAUGGCGCAAUCAUAUGUGGUUUUCAUCUGUGAGGAUUCCCACGUUGUACACGGUAUGUCGUUUGUCAUCUACAUAGCAAGGUGCAUCCCCGUGGUCACAUCUGAUCUCCUUCCCCAUGCCGUAGGCAACAGUGACCACGUCGAUGCAUUACGAGCUUAUUUGCUGUCAAGGUCUCUGGCCAGACUGAAGAGCGAAUUCCAGGCUGGAAAUGGCAAGCUCAAGACCCUCUCAUGCAUGUCGUCUGUUUUGGUGAGCUUCGUGCUCUUCGUGCUAUCUCGGUUCAUCUUUGCUCAACAACGAUGCAACGAUGCCUCCCCACCUUGUUAA